GUAGAGAUGAAUAUUCUCUGUGCCGUCGCAAACGCAGUAAGUAUCCCACCUGGGGAGUACGGCCGCAAGGUUGAAACUCAAAGGAAUUGACGGGGGCCCGCACAAGCAGUGGAGUAUGUGGUUUAAUUCGACGCAACGCGAAGAACCUUACCAGGGCUUGACAUAUACAGGAAUACUCAAGAGAUUGAGUAGCUCUUCGGAGUCUGUAAACAGGUGGUGCAUGGUUGUCGUCAGCUCGUGUCGUGAGAUGUUGGGUUAAGUCCCGCAACGAGCGCAACCCCCGUGAUUAGUUGCCAGCACGUAAAGGUGGGAACUCUAAUCAGACUGCCGGUGAUAAAUCGGAGGAAGGUGGGGACGACGUCAAAUCAUCAUGCCCUAUAUGUCCUGGGCUACACACGUACUACAAUGGCUGUAACAGAGGGAAGCGAAGCAGUGAUGUGGAGCAAAACCCAAAAAAGCAGUCUCAGUUCGGAUUGAAGGCUGAAAUUCGCCUUCAUGAAGCCGGAAUUGCUAGUAAUGGCAGGUCAGCAUACUGCCGUGAAUACGUUCCCGGGCCUUGUACACACCGCCCGUCACACCAUGAGAGUUGGGGAUACCCGAAGCCUGUGAGCUAACUUUAAAGAGGCAGCAGUCGAAGGUAGAAUCAAUGAUUGGGGUGAA
This 660-nucleotide ribosomal RNA is filed under the name uncultured bacterium. RNAcentral describes it as "bacterial SSU rRNA". It matches the Rfam family "Bacterial small subunit ribosomal RNA", at positions 822 to 1484 of the family's 1533-position model. The record is from RNAcentral.